This 514-nucleotide ribosomal RNA is filed under the name uncultured bacterium. RNAcentral describes it as "bacterial SSU rRNA". It matches the Rfam family "Bacterial small subunit ribosomal RNA", at positions 614 to 1203 of the family's 1533-position model. The record is from RNAcentral.
CUGGGAACUGCAUCUGAUACUGGCAAGCUUGAGUCUCGUAGAGGGGGGUAGAAUUCCAGGUGUAGCGGUGAAAUGCGUAGAGAUCUGGAGGAAUACCGGUGGCGAAGGCGGCCCCCUGGACAAAGACUGACGCUCAGGUGCGAAAGCGUGGGGAGCAAACAGGAUUAGAUACCCUGGUAGUCCACGCCGUAAACGAUGUCGAUUUGGAGGUUGUGGCUUCCGGAGCUAACGCGUUAAAUCGACCGCCUGGGGAGUACGGCCGCAAGGUUAAAACUCAAAUGAAUUGACGGGGGCCCGCACAAGCGGUGGAGCAUGUGGUUUAAUUCGAUGCAACGCGAAGAACCUUACCUGGUCUUGACAUCCAGGUGCUGCAUGGCUGUCGUCAGCUCGUGUUGUGAAAUGUUGGGUUAAGUCCCGCAACGAGCGCAACCCUUAUCCUUUGUUGCAACUCAAAGGAGACUGCCAGUGAUAAACUGGAGGAAGGUGGGGAUGACGUCAAGUCAUCAUGGCCCUU